Long non-coding RNA from Amblyraja radiata (thorny skate), 403 nucleotides. RefSeq lists it as uncharacterized. Lineage: Eukaryota; Metazoa; Chordata; Chondrichthyes; Rajiformes; Rajidae. The transcript is spliced from 3 exons. The record is from RefSeq and is a predicted model, not a curated record.
CGGGCACUUUUCACAUUGGUUUAUAGAGGCGAGCGUUUCGUCAGCAACUCCGGAUGAGGAAAGAAACGAACGUCACCUGGACGAUCGCAGCAAUAAAGGAGAAAAGUCUAUCCCGGCCUGGAUCUCAAAGGGAGCCAUUGAAGAGAGGGAGAAAAAUACUGUGAACUUGGCACCUCGUGCCCUGAGACUCUGCAACAGAGAAGUGGGAAAUUCUGCGGGACACCAUGCACCACACAGCCUUGGCUAACUUUGGGAAGAAGACCUCGAAGACACACUACUGGUUUGAGGACAAGUCGACCGAGAUGACUCCCGUCAUCAAAGCCAAGCACGCCGCCCUAGCCGAGUACAAGCGAUCAGCCAAUGAGAAGAACCUGCAGAUCCUCAGGGCUGCCAGGAGCAAGGU